This 468-nucleotide ribosomal RNA is filed under the name uncultured bacterium. Its description in RNAcentral is "partial 16S ribosomal RNA". It matches the Rfam family "Bacterial small subunit ribosomal RNA", at positions 28 to 507 of the family's 1533-position model. The record is from RNAcentral.
GACGAACGCUGGCGGCGUGCUUAACACAUGCAAGUCGAACGGAAAGGCCCUGCUUUUGUGGGGUGCUCGAGUGGCGAACGGGUGAGUAACACGUGAGUAACCUGCCCUUGACUUUGGGAUAACUUCAGGAAACUGGGGCUAAUACCGGAUAGGUGCUCCUGCUGCAUGGUGGGGGUUGGAAAGUUUCGGCGGUUGGGGAUGGACUCGCGGCUUAUCAGCUUGUUGGUGGGGUAGUGGCUUACCAAGGCUUUGACGGGUAGCCGGCCUGAGAGGGUGACCGGCCACAUUGGGACUGAGAUACGGCCCAGACUCCUACGGGAGGCAGCAGUGGGGAAUAUUGCACUAUGGGCGGAAGCCUGAUGCAGCAACGCCGCGUGCGGGAUGACGGCCUUCGGGUUGUAAACCGCUUUCGCCUGUGACGAAGCGUGAGUGACGGUAAUGGGUAAAGAAGCACCGGCUAACUACGUG